Molecule: long non-coding RNA, 5628 nt
Organism: Columba livia (rock pigeon)
Lineage: Eukaryota; Metazoa; Chordata; Aves; Columbiformes; Columbidae
Exons: 3
Source: RefSeq, a predicted model, not a curated record
UAAAUUAUCUCCUAUGCCCUUUUCCCUGUGCUUCACUUGGAAGAUCCAAAGGCAACAAAAACUCGUUGAAGGUCCGCUUGGCAGGAGGAAAACUUCUGUAGGAGGAAGCAGGGAGAGAUCUGCUGCUCCUGAGGACCACACACAUGAAGAGCUGGUGAUGUUUGUUCCUGUUGGCUGUGAGAGUGCACGGACUCCAGAAGUGGGAAAAACAACGGAAAAGAAAUCAAGAUGCAAAGGAGAGCACAAAAUAAGCCAGAAGUUUUAUGGUUUUGAAGCUUUCUGGCCGUCCUGUAGGAUGAAGGUACUUUCUUUUAUUGUCUGCAUCAAGAGGAUCCUUCGUGGCUUGGAAGCAGAGGAUUUAAAUUAUUCAAAGGUCCAGAAAUACAGGAAAACAAAAUUCACCAUCCUUUACGGAAAUAGUGAAAUCUGAUUAACUUCAAAUUACAAUGAAGAAAUGAGAAGAGAGAGAAAUUUGUUAACCUUGACCUUCAGAAUAAAUAAUUGUAAACGUUUCUGCCAUGAUGCUGAUCUCGACUUUCCAGCUCCCUUCUCAUGCCCAAUGAAGACAUGGCCAGAGCCAGAGGCAACAGCCUCUCAAAGGUGGACAACAAGGCUGAGGCUGAAGCUUUCCCAGCAGCUCAUUGCAUCUUUUUCUUCUAGCGAUGCUCACAGGAGGAUAAGGAAAAUAUCCAUUUGAAUGUCAUUGAAAAAUCUCAUUAUGUUGUCCCAGUGCACAUUUUAUCACCAAAGGGUGAUAAAGAGGAGAAAAUGAGCACAGAAAUAUGGGCUAUCUUCUUUGAAAAACUGCCAUGAGAAAGUACACCUGUGUGCUCAGGCUGUGCAGAACAAAGCUGGACCUGUUGAGCAUUGUUGAUAUAACGACUGAGUAAACGAAAAUAAGUUCCCCGUGGAUCACUCUAAGAUAUGAAUGAACAAAAUCCAUUUUAUUUUUAUGAUCAGAUUCUGAGUUUCUAGAGAGGCAGAUACUUUUUCUGAAGUGUAGCACUGAACAACAAAUGGUAAAACCUAUGAAAAUAUCAUUGUGAAUCUACUUCCCAAAGGAAAAGACCACUCUGUAGUCACAGCCUGCAUCUGUAGCUGUCUUAUAAUUUACAUGGCUUAAGUAGAAUUCCUCCAGGAAAUACCAUUUGUUCCAAAUUAAAGGUCUGAAUGCUAAGGAAGGAGCACUGGAGGUAGUGAAGCUGAAAAUGCAGAAACGAAGGACUGCUUAUGUCUCUACCAUGUUGAGAUUACAAUGCUGUUCUGGUUGCGAUGUAAAUCAUGCUCCUCUUGCUCAAGCCUGUUUCACGGGGGACAUGGAUUACACUAUUAAACACCAUGGAAAUUCUUUUGUCAGACCUCCAGCUACAUAAAGGAAAGUUUAGCAGCUAAAAUGAUCUUUCAGCCUCAAUGUACAGAUUUUAGUGCAAGUAGGUGAAUACCAUCUCCAAUAUUUCAUUUUUCUUGAUCACUGUAACAAAGCUCUGAGGGAAACAAACGGGUUUUCUAGGCCAGCAGCAUAAACUGUCUUUUCACUUUAUUCCUUUGCUUUGCCAGCUUAACAAACUCUGGCUUGAACAGACUUGUAGUAAAUUUUGGCAACUAUUACCUGUUGUUGAUUAAAUAAAAUUUGUCAGCUGUGGCCAGUGCUAAUUGUUCUGUAAGAUAAAGGCAUUAUUUGCUAGAAAGGAGUAUGGUCUAAUGAGAGAAAUUCAGUAUUUUAUUUUAUUUUAAAGAUUUUUUUUCUUGACUAGUGUUGUGGACAUUCCCACCACACUGCUACUGCAUGUUGGCCAAUUGAAUAGACCCUGGAGAGUUUAAAUGGUUUCUGUGAUGUGUUCACACACUUGCCUGUACCAGUGCAGCUUGGUUGCUGCCUUCUUUGGCAUUCUUAUGAUGAUAAAUUGGUACAAACACAUAGGAUACAAAUAAUGUCCUUUCUGACUGAGCUAGUGUGGAAAUAGUGCCAGCAGAAGACUAUUUGCUAAUAUUACUGUACAAUUCACAAAAUCCCUGGUAGCGUACUGCUGCUUCUUAGCUGAUGCUGGCAUUAUCUGUUUUCCUGAAAAAGCCCUUAUUGUGAAGACCUUACAGCCUUUUGCAGCUGGGUUGCUGCCAAUUCCUCAGCUGGCUCUGGGCUGCCUCGCUGGUGGAUCCUCACACCUGAAAAAGUCCAUGUGGAAAGAUCAGUCAGCACACACCAAAGAGUUUAGGGUGCACAUAGUCUACCAAUGGUGCCAAGCACAUCUUUUUCUUUCGCAAACUUCCUCUGACAGCAAGGGAUGACUGGUCUCUCAAGGACUGCAUGAUUCAUGGUAGUGCUCACUUAAUUGAAAGUACUGGAGCAGCAGCUCCUCUUUUACUGCCUGAGAGGCCAGCUGAUCUCUUACAAAAGGGGAAACAUUGCUAAACAAAGGAAGUCAUUUUAAAAGAAGAAAAUAACAUCUGUCUAUAGAUAUGUGGAGAGGGAAAGAAGAAAUGUGAAAAUGGAGAUGGUGGGGGGAAAGGGCUUAAAGUUUAAAAAUCUGAAAAAUAAAGGCCAUAUGGGAUCAGAGACAGCACAUCCAAGUGUUAGACCAAAUGUAGAGACGUAAUGGAAGGAAGUAUAGGAGAGAGGGAGAAUGCAUAUAAAACAAAGCACAGGAAAAAGGUAUAAAACCCCCAAAAUUCAUUUACAGAGACUGAGGGACUGCUGCAUCAUCCAAUUGCCAGUAGAGGUGCUAAAGCCACAGCUAUAGAGCUCAGUAGCGAAUGCUCAAGAGAAGAAAUAAAUCCUACAUUUAGAUGGGUAGAGUAUUUCAAGACACGAACAAUAGUGCAAUGAAGCUACCUAGGAGGCAUCCAUUUAGGAAUGAAUUUCUCUACAUAUCUGUAGUUGAAACCAGAAAGACAGGCAGCGAGAGGCAGAAGAGGUUCUCUGAAAAAGCUCUGGAGCCAGUCCAGGAACACCAUGAAAUUCUUGUGGCUGUGCUGCAGCCAGGGAUCAGUGAGACCAGCAGGUACCACUCUGCAACUGGGGCACAAUAAAACCCUUCUACAAGCUGAGCCAAGAAUAAUCUUAAAAAGUGCUAUGCUUUGCCACUUACAAAUGUUGCUCUUGUCGAAGUGUUUUGUAUUUGCCUCAGUGUAGUUCCUUUUUUCUUCUUUUUUUUUAAAAAAAAAAAACUAAUUAGAUGCUUAUUAUAAAUCAAAGGGAAUUUCUGGGAGCUCGUUGGGUUUGUAAAUUAUGCAAAUGACAGCACUCUGAUGUUGGACCAUAAUAUUAUUAAUUGUAUAUUUUGUGGCUCAUGUGUUCUGAAGAGUACAUGUGAAACAAGUUUUUCUUUUUCUUUUUUUUUGAGUUCUUAAACACAAUAAGUUUAAGAAUUCUUCCUGCAGAUUGCAAAAUUAUUUUUCUCCAUUUUCUUAACGUUAGAGUAUAUUUUUAAUGCUAUAGACUAUUCUGUGCUGAUAGCUUUACAACACUGUGCAUGUAUUAUGAACAGAACAAACUUCACAGAUGAUUAUACUUAAAGCUGGAGGUCUUUCUGCAAAUUUUAAACAAAGUGUUCUAUUAAAUGCCAUCUAUAAAAUGCUUGAUGACUUACCUCCUAGGCUGAUUUGUGAUUUUGCCUGAGCUUUUGAAAUCCUGGAUGAAAAACCCUUUUGCUACAGGAAACUGGUUGGUAACUUAAUAAAUAGCACUGUAAUCUAAGUAUUGAACACUUCCACAUAGCAAGUAUUAUUUUGCAAUGCCUUCCUCUGCCUGAAGCAUAAAAUGGAAGCACUCUUGCUAUGUAAUACUUAACAAUCCCCAGGAAUACCUGUUAAAACAGAUAGACAUCAGGUGAAACCCCAGUGGUUAUCCUUAAAUUCCCCCAUGGUUGAGAAGCACAGCUGUCUUUGUGGUUCAGGACUGCUAUCUUUCCAUCUUGAUGUGAAGUUAAAUAAAGUAACAACAUCGAACAAGUUUUCUGUUCCAAAAAUGGUAGUGUUUCUGCAUCUGAAAUGAAUCCUGUCUAUCAAUUAGCAAACACUCUGAGAUUAUUCAGAAUAAAUGGGCUUUGUGUCAACAUGCUACAUUUACAAAUAUUGUACUCAGUUUGUGUCCUAACUGCCAAUUUCUGCAGCUAAUUCUACCGAUUUUUACACUGUGUUCAUUGCAAAUAGAAUUUCCUUUGCAUUAGGAGACAUUUCUUUCAUUGAUACAGAAAAAUAUGUUUGUGUUUCUUUCUUACAUUUGCAUGGUACGAAUACAACUGUCAUACAACAUCCAGGUUAAUUAAAUUAGCAACAACAACAACAAAAACCCCAAACAAUGGAGUGAAAGAUGUCAUACAUGUUUUGUUGAUUGGGCAUUUGGUACAUAUGAGCGUAUGCAUACUUACAUGCAAAGGCUUCAAUGUACACCUCAUGCAGUCCAUACCAUUGUAAAUCCAAUGUAGAUGCAGGUAAUAUACCAGGUAUGCCUACCUGGGGUGUCUAAGUAACUCUUCUGUCACAGGAAGAGUCCAAACAAUUUGCUUUGGUUUUGCUCAGGAAUCUGUAGUUUUAACCUCUAGCAAUUUUCCUGCUUUCGUGAAACUGUUAUAAAAGUCUUUCUCCAAGUACCUUUUGCAUUAAUAGCCUUGCAGAGAGAUAAUGAGGACACAGUUUUAAUGCCAGAUUAUCUGUUUAUGCAUAACAUUGAUCCAAAUGCUAAAUUUAGCUGGUCAUUAAGAGGAUAAGAGCCAGCAGAAUAAUUCAGUGUGCAAGUGCAGUUUUCAGAUUUAGACUGCAAAUAUCUUGGAGAGGGUCUGCAUUUUAGUCUGUUUUGUCAAACAGUUACAGAGAACCAUUGCUGUAGGAAAUCACUCUCUAUGUGAUGUUGAGAACAAAGAGGGAUUCUGCAUUCAGUAGCUGUCUGCAGAUUUUAUAUAUUUUUGAAUAGUGAGCAUUGCUCAUAAAAAGAAUUGCACCCUCCAUGAUUGCAGUGCCCUGCUGGAUAGCUAUAAAUUUUUUCACUAUUGCAGUGUUAUGAUCCAUUGGAAUCUGAGAUCGGUGAGAGCUGGAUUCCCGGUUUCAUUACGUCCCUUAUGAUAUUUGCUCUAACAUCGUUUAGGUUAGUGCAAACAUAUUGAGCUCUCAAUUCACUAAUCGUAUACACAUACUGCUUCCAAUCUGGCCCUGCCAGGGGCACCUGCACGGCGCUCUGCUGCUCUCCUGCCUCUGAGAACUGGCCCGUUUUGUUUUUUUAAAGGACUGGACAAGGGCUGUUCAGGUCAUUUCUUACGUUGCUUCCAGGUUGAGCAUCUGGGGAAAAAAGAAGGUCUGUCUGUGUGUAGGUUUUGUAUUUCAAAAUUUCAGUUUUAGAUGCAAGGUAAAACUAGAAUCUCUGGGGCAUCUUGUUCAAACCCCUGUUUUUGAUUAUCGGUCAAUACUUUAUACUGACCUCAAUUGUUAUUUGGGUUUGAGUGCAUCUAAAAAUGGCGUGAACAUGGCAUUUCUCUUAAGUUUCAGUAUUAUGCAAGCAGCUCAGAAUAAUUUUUUGUUGUAAAACUUGAAACCUAGAUCUAAGGUGACUCUGAAACUGAACCCUAACCUAAACUACAUCAAGACAUCUGUGCAAAUCUAUUUUUAUAUAUUAUCAAAUAAAAUAUCUUGACAUGC